CCUAACCAGAAAGCCACGGCUAACUACGUGCCCGCAGCCGCGGUAAUACGUAGGUGGCAAGCGUUGUCCGGAAUUAUUGGGCGUAAAGGGCUCGCAGGCGGUUUGUUAAGUCUGAUGUGAAAGCCCCCGGCUCAACCGGGGAGGGUCAUUGGAAACUGGGAAACUUGAGUGCAGAAGAGGAGAGUGGAAUUCCACGUGUAGCGGUGAAAUGCGUAGAGAUGUGGAGGAACACCAGUGGCGAAGGCGACUCUCUGGUCUGUAACUGACGCUGAGGAGCGAAAGCGUGGGGAGCGAACAGGAUUAGAUACCCUGGUAGUCCACGCCGUAAACGAUGAGUGCUAAGUGUUAGGGGGUUUCCGCCCCUUAGUGCCUGCAGCUAACGCAUUAAGCACUCCGCCUGGGGAGUACGGUCGCAAGACUGAAACUCAAAGGAAUUGACGGGGGCCCGCACAAGCGGUGGAGCAUGUGGUUUAAUUCGAAGCAACGCGAAGAACCUUACCAGGUCUUGACAUCCUCUGACAACCCUAGAGAUAGGGCUUUCCCUUCGGGGACAGAGUGAC
RNAcentral lists this ribosomal RNA (560 nucleotides) under Bacillus pumilus. RNAcentral describes it as "bacterial SSU rRNA". It matches the Rfam family "Bacterial small subunit ribosomal RNA", at positions 478 to 1035 of the family's 1533-position model. Lineage: Bacteria; Bacillati; Bacillota; Bacilli; Caryophanales; Bacillaceae. The record is from RNAcentral.